GAGACACACACGGGCCACCGAUCUGCCGCCAGUCGGCGUGCCUUGCAGCUGUUGGCUUGACCCCAGGCCGGGACGGGCAGAGCGGAACACUGCCCGGCGGGUCCAGGCCGACCGUGCCUGUGGCUCUCCGGAACAAUAAACCCCCGGCCCCAGUGAUGUGGGCCAGACCGGACCUGGAGAGGCGGCACCGCGACCCCUCCCGCAACCCGCCUGGCGGCCGGGGGCAGCGUGACCCGGCCCGCUACCGUGUCACAGCUGGCGACUGACAAACAGCAGGCGACGUCGGGAGAACUCCCCGAGACACCCGAGACAUCAGCCUUCUCGCUCCGCGGCCCUGCAGGACCUGCCCGCCGGGAGCCCCGGAGUCCGCGGCAGCGCCGAGGGCCCCUCCCCCAGGCCUCUGGGCUCUGAGGCUCAUCCAUGGAAUACCAAUUCUUUUUCUUAGUGUUCACAUUGGAUUUUUCUGUUAAAAAUAGAUUGUUGGAGUUGGCUAACAAGUUGAUUACUUCCAGUCAGGCACUCUCUUCUGUAAAGUCUCUUUUGUAAACUCCUACAAGCAGCUAUUUCACUGGAUUUGAAAAGACUGACUAAAAAGAACCAUGCACUGUAACUCUCAAGUAUACAGGAAUAUUGUUAUUAGCUCCUGCCAUAUAAAAUGCCGGCUCCUGCUUUGCCUUUCACCAUGAGUAAAAGCCUCCUGAGACCUUCUCAGAAACAGAUGCUGCCAUCCUUCCUGUACAGCCUGCAGUACCGUGAGCAAAAUAAGCCUCUUUUGUCUAUAAAUUACCUAGUCUCAGGUAUUUAUUUAUAGCAAUGUAAGAAAGAACUAAUACAAGUGGUUUCACUUCUUAUAGCCUAAAACUACCUAGCAUGCCUUUGAAAUUGCAACUGCUUUCUAUUUCUUAUAAUUCAGACUUGUCUUUUCAUUUGUGACCAAUUCCUGUUAUUUCAAAACCAAAGAGUGCAUGAGGGUGAAUUAUAUUACCCUGAAGAGAUGAGACAAUGACUCUGUCUGAACCAUUCAGCUGGUCUAGGUGACUAGAGACUGCAGAGAUGUCAGGACUGUUGCCUAGGACACAAAGCAGACUUACAGGGCAUUCCUCACUGAAAGAACAUUUUAGGGACACUUACUUAUCCAGAAAGGCAUAAAUAAGGAACUGGUAACCCUGAUAACUUGAGAACCCUACUGCUACCUGGUGAUUAGAGGCAGUCUGAGACACAUAAGAGAGUGGUUCAGGCCAGGAGUGGUGGUUCACACCUGUAAUCCCAGCACUUUGGGAGGCCAAGGUGGGUGGAUUGCUUGAGAUCAGGAGUUUGAGACCAGCCUGGCCAGCAUGGCGAAACCCCCCUCUACUAAAAAUACCGAAGUUAGCCAGGUGUGGUGGCACAUGCCUGUGAUCCCAGCUACUUGGGAGGCUGAGGCACGAGAAUCACUUGAACCCGGGAGGUGGAGUUUGCAAUGAUCCAAGAUCAUGCCACUGGACUCCAGCCAGAGCAACACAGUGACACUCUGUCUCAAAAAUAUAUAUAUAUAUUUUGGGACCUGGACAGGUGACCAUGGUGAGACCUUUGAAGACAUAUGUAUGUCCAUAGCAUGCAUAUGUCUUUGAACUGUGUAUCUUGAAGUAAUGUUAUGUUAAAUUAUGUAAUAGAUAAUCAUAAAGUGUCUGAGUCAUUUCUAAGUAAGUUAAAAUGCUGAGAUAUCAAUUUAAUCUUUUAGUUUUUUGUUGUUGACUUUAGACAUCUAGAAAUAUAAAGCAUAAUCAAUUUAAGAAUAAAAAAUACGGCCUGGGUACAGUGGCUCAUGCCUAUAAUCCCAGCACUUUGGGAGGCCGAUGCGGGCAGAUCGCUUGAGUCCAGGAGACCAGCUCGGUAACAUGGAGAAACCCUGUCUCUACAAAAAAUAUAAAAAAUUAGCCAGGUGUAAUGGCAGGUGGGUGUGGUAGUAUGCGCCUAUAGCCCCAGCUACUAGGGAAGCUGAGGUCAGAUGAUCACUUGAGCCUGGGAGGUGUAGGUUGCAGUGAGCCAAGAUUGUGUCACUGCCCUCCAGCCUGGGCAACAGAGUGAGACCCUGUCUCAAAAAGCAAAAACUAUGCAAAUAAGGACAAUUAUUAACAAAACAAUCUGAAAUCCGUAUCUGAAAAGUGUUUCUGGCCAGGCGUGGCUCACGCCUGUGAUCCCAACAUUUUGGGAGGCCGAGGUGAGUGGAUCACUUGACACCAGGAGUUGAAGACCAGCCUGGCCAACAUGGUGAAACCCUGUCUCUACUCAAAAUACAAAAAUUAGCCAGGUGUGGUGGUGCAUGCCUGUAAUCCCAGCUACUUCUUAGGAGGCUAAGGCAGGAUAAUCGCUUGAACCCGGGAGGCAGAGGCUGCAGUGAGCCGAGACUGUGCCACUGCACUCCAGCCUGGGUGACAG
This is a long non-coding RNA of Homo sapiens (human), 2418 nucleotides long. Ensembl annotates it as KIF9 antisense RNA 1. Its record names the gene KIF9-AS1. Lineage: Eukaryota; Metazoa; Chordata; Mammalia; Primates; Hominidae. The record is from Ensembl.